AACGAACGCUGGCGGCAUGCCUAACACAUGCUAGUCGAACGAGACCUUCGGGUCUAGUGGCGCACGGGUGCGUAACGCGUGGGAACCUGCCCUUAGGUUCGGAAUAACUCCCCGAAAGGGGUGCUAAUACCGGAUAAUGUCUUCGGACCAAAGAUUUAUCGCCUUUGGAUGGGCCCGCGUUGGAUUAGCUAGUUGGUGGGGUAAAAGCCUACCAAGGCGACGAUCCAUAGCUGGUCUGAGAGGAUGAUCAGCCACACUGGGACUGAGACACGGCCCAGACUCCUACGGGAGGCAGCAGUGGGGAAUAUUGGACAAUGGGCGAAAGCCUGAUCCAGCAAUGCCGCGUGAGUGAUGAAGGCCUUAGGGUUGUAAAGCUCUUUUACCCGGGAUGAUAAUGACAGUACCGGGAGAAUAAGCUCCGGCUAACUCCGUG
Molecule: ribosomal RNA, 433 nt
Filed under: uncultured bacterium
Lineage: Bacteria
Description: partial 16S ribosomal RNA
Rfam family: Bacterial small subunit ribosomal RNA
Source: RNAcentral